Molecule: ribosomal RNA, 253 nt
Filed under: uncultured bacterium
Lineage: Bacteria
Description: partial 16S ribosomal RNA
Rfam family: Bacterial small subunit ribosomal RNA
Source: RNAcentral
UACGGAGGGUGCGAGCGUUAUCCGGAAUUACUGGGUUUAAAGGGUGCGUAGGCGGCUAUGUAAGUCAGGAGUGAAGGUUUGCGGCUCAACCGUAAAAUUGCUUUUGAUACUGCAUGGCUAGAAUCAGGAUGAGGUUAGCGGAAUGUGGCAUGUAGCGGUGAAAUGCAUAGAUAUGCCAUAGAACACCAAUUGCGAAGGCAGCUGGCUAGACCUGCAUUGACGCUGAGGCACGAAAGCGUGGGGAGCGAACAGG